AAUAUUUGACGCCGUUGACUUUUUAGCACAUGUUUGACCGUUCGUCUUAUUCAAAAAAUUUAAGUAAUUAUUAAUUCUUUUCCUAUCAUUUGAUUAUUGUUAAAUAUAUUUUUAUGUAGGCAUAUAAUUUUACAUAUUUCAUACAAUUUUUUAAUAAGACGAACGGUCAAACAUGUGCUAAAAAGUCAACAG
Molecule: microRNA precursor, 192 nt
Filed under: Oryza glumipatula
Lineage: Eukaryota; Viridiplantae; Streptophyta; Magnoliopsida; Poales; Poaceae
Description: MIR812 microRNA precursor family
Rfam family: MIR812 microRNA precursor family
Source: Rfam by way of RNAcentral